GUGCCAGCGCCGCGGUAAUACGGAGGGUGCAAGCGUUAAUCGGAAUUACUGGGCGUAAAGCGCACGCAGGCGGUUUGUUAAGUCAGAUGUGAAAUCCCCGGGCUCAACCUGGGAACUGCAUCUGAUACUGGCAAGCUUGAGUCUCGUAGAGGGGGGUAGAAUUCCAGGUGUAGCGGUGAAAUGCGUAGAGAUCUGGAGGAAUACCGGUGGCGAAGGCGGCCCCCUGGACGAAGACUGACGCUCAGGUGCGAAAGCGUGGGGAGCAAACAGGAUUAGAAACCCCAGUAGUCC
Molecule: ribosomal RNA, 291 nt
Filed under: uncultured bacterium
Lineage: Bacteria
Description: partial 16S ribosomal RNA
Rfam family: Bacterial small subunit ribosomal RNA
Source: RNAcentral